This 383-nucleotide ribosomal RNA is filed under the name Sanguibacter sp. 1.23-VEs. Its description in RNAcentral is "bacterial SSU rRNA". It matches the Rfam family "Bacterial small subunit ribosomal RNA", at positions 387 to 782 of the family's 1533-position model. Lineage: Bacteria; Bacillati; Actinomycetota; Actinomycetes; Micrococcales; Sanguibacteraceae. The record is from RNAcentral.
UGCAGCGACGCCGCGUGAGGGAUGAAGGCCUUCGGGUUGUAAACCUCUUUCAGUAGGGAAGAAGCGAAAGUGACGGUACCUGCAGAAGAAGCGCCGGCUAACUACGUGCCAGCAGCCGCGGUAAUACGUAGGGCGCAAGCGUUGUCCGGAAUUAUUGGGCGUAAAGAGCUCGUAGGCGGUUUGUCGCGUCUGGUGUGAAAACUCAAGGCUCAACCUUGAGCUUGCAUCGGGUACGGGCAGACUAGAGUGCGGUAGGGGUGACUGGAAUUCCUGGUGUAGCGGUGGAAUGCGCAGAUAUCAGGAGGAACACCGAUGGCGAAGGCAGGUCACUGGGCCGCAACUGACGCUGAGGAGCGAAAGCAUGGGGAGCGAACAGGAUUAGA